GAUGAACGCUGGCGGCGUGCUUAAUACAUGCAAGUCGAACGAACAGACUAGUGCUUUGCUCCUCACUCGUUUGCGGCGCACGUGUGAGUAACACGUGGAUACUCUCCCUCUCAUCCUGGGAUAACUUCGGGAAUCCGGAUCUAAUACCGUAUAAUAUAUUUAACCGCAUGGUUCAAUAGUGUUAGACGGUUUUGGUGUCACUUAUAGACUGAUCCGCUCCGCAUUAGCUAGUUGGUAAGGUAACGGCUUACCAGGGCAACGAUGCGUAGACGAACUGAGAGGGUGAUCGGCCACCUUAGAAGUGAGACACGGACAAGGCGACUACGGGAGGCAGCAGUAGGGAAUGUUACGCAAUGGGCGAAAGCCUGACGGAGCGACGCCGCGUGAGUGACAAAGGUCUUCGGUGCGGAAAGACGUGUUUUGGGGUAUAAACAAAUGUGUAAGGAAAUAAGGAGGUAGUGACGGUACCUAAACAGAAAGCAACGGCUAACUACGUG
RNAcentral lists this ribosomal RNA (497 nucleotides) under uncultured bacterium. Its description in RNAcentral is "partial 16S ribosomal RNA". It matches the Rfam family "Bacterial small subunit ribosomal RNA", at positions 28 to 507 of the family's 1533-position model. The record is from RNAcentral.